Molecule: small nuclear RNA, 197 nt
Organism: Erpetoichthys calabaricus (reedfish)
Lineage: Eukaryota; Metazoa; Chordata; Cladistia; Polypteriformes; Polypteridae
Gene: U2
Rfam family: U2 spliceosomal RNA
About the family: U2 is a small nuclear RNA (snRNA) component of the spliceosome (involved in pre-mRNA splicing).
Source: Ensembl
CCAACUUUUAAUAAAAAAUGAGUUUAAAAAAAAAAAAAAAAAAAUCUGUUCUUAUCAGUUUAAUAUCUGAUACGUCCCCUAUCUGGGGACCAUAUAUUAAAUUGAUUUUUGGAACAGGGAGAUGGAAUAGGGGCUUGCUCCGUCCACUCCACUCAUCGACCUGGUAUUGCAGUACUUCCAGAAGCGGUGCACUUUCU